This 484-nucleotide ribosomal RNA is filed under the name uncultured bacterium. RNAcentral describes it as "partial 16S ribosomal RNA". It matches the Rfam family "Bacterial small subunit ribosomal RNA", at positions 30 to 507 of the family's 1533-position model. The record is from RNAcentral.
AUUGAACGCUGGCGGCAGGCCUAACACAUGCAAGUCGAGCGGACGAAGGGGGCGUGCGCCUGGAUUCAGCGGCGGACGGGCGAGUAAGGCCUAGGAAGCUGACCUGCAUUGGGGGAUAACGUCCGGUAAGGGGCGCUAAGACCGCACACGUCCUGAUGGAGAAAGGGGGGGAUCUUUGGAGCUCAAGGGAUCAGAUGAGCCUAGGACGUAUUAGCUAGUUGGUAGGGUAAAGGCCUACCAAGGCGACGAUCCGUAACAGGUCUGAGAGGAUGAUCAGCCACACUGGAACUGAGACACGGUCCAGACUCCUACGGGAGGCAGCAGUGGGGAAUCUUCCGCAAUGGGCGAAAGCCUGAUCCAGCAACGCCGCGUGUGUGAUGAAGGUCUUCGGAUUGUAAAGCUCUUUAAUUUGGGAGGAAGAGCUGUGAGUUAAUCCCUUCCUGUCUUGACGUUACCUACAGAGUAAGCCCCGGCUAACUUCGUG